Molecule: long non-coding RNA, 1777 nt
Organism: Sinocyclocheilus anshuiensis
Lineage: Eukaryota; Metazoa; Chordata; Actinopteri; Cypriniformes; Cyprinidae
Exons: 6
Source: RefSeq, a predicted model, not a curated record
AAAACGGGAAGAUUUUAUUAUAAGUCACGUUGGUCCGACCACAGCACAGUCCAAUUGAUAAGAGUUGUCAUUUCUGUCGGCUAUAAGAAAUAUCAAAGGGCGAAUAAAAUGAAAACGGAACCAAUUCACGCUGCUCGUUUGCGCUGUACCGGACCGUUUAAGGUUAGAUAGCGCCGCGCGAGCGUUGAGAGAUCCGGUGAAGAGGGAAUACACAGCAGAAUUAUCAACAUCGCUGCGAGAUCUAAGUUUGUAAUACAGUGUAAACUUUGCAAAUUUGCUCACAGUAGCAGAGAGGUCCUCCUGAAACACUACAGGUUUCACCACUAUCAAGGGCGAUCCUGGCAGCAGCCUUGCCUGUAUACUGACUGCAUCUGCACUUUCAAAACUAUAGGAAAGGGAUGCAUUACAGGAGAAAUUGAAGAAGAAACAUCUCAACAUGGCAUUUGUUGACUCGAAAAUGGAAUUGACAUUCUCAUUGAGAAGGAAGGAGAUAGUUGAAGAAGAACCUCUUGUAGCUGAUGUACUAAGACAAUGGCCAGCAUUGUUUUUUGGAACAUCAGAUAUGUGCUGAGUUUUACAGAAUCACACAAACAAACCUUAAGAGUAAAUUUUUCUCUUAUCUGGAUGAAUAUACACCGCGGAUGAUCAAGUUGUUUAGGGUACUCGGCGGAGCAUAUGGAGAUAAUAUUAAGACCCUCCUAGACCAACUUGAUGAUCAGACCUCCGAUGUGCUUGCUCAUAGAAAGGCUACAGCUCUCAAAGGUCUACCUUUGUUUAUGAGGGAAAAGUCUGAACAUUUCCUGAAGACUUGCCUGGACACAGAGCCAGAAGAAAAUCAUACAAAAGGGAAUAAAGAUGGGGAUCUUAACCAUCAUUGAAGAUGACGUUGCGACCAUCCACUCAAACCCAAAUGUUAAGGUGCCUGUCUGUGGUUCUAGAGGAGCAUAUCGUGCUGGAUAAUGUGCAAGACCUUCCCACUGCUAUGGCUCUUCUCUUUGGCUUGAUUUAUGCCCUGAACAUGAACUAUCCUAAAGAACUCAAGUACACCUUUGAAACGAUUCAAAAGGUGUGUAUUGGUCUUAACCCCCAGUGCUCAGCAAGAGUCCAGUCCUUCAAAAACAAACUGUCAAUGUCUAAAUAGCUGGAUACGAAUAAGGGAAAGCACUAAGCUGUUCCUUUUGUGCCAUCUGAUGUUUCCGUAAAAGUGUCAAAAGAGGAAAUAUUUUAAUGUAAUGAACCUUAAAUGUUGUUUUUACAGUUGUAAAACUGGAUUGCUCAAACACAUUUGUUGCAAUUUUUAGAAUCCUGAAGUCUUGUUCAUAGAUAUAGCACUUUAAGACUGUUUCUUGUACUUUGUUACUCCAGCGCUUUAAAAGAUGUUGUGCUGUAAAAUCACUUUAAAAGCAUUCCAAGAAGAGAGGAAAGUGUUCUUUUGCCUCUUAAGGGGCCUCAAUGUGACAAAUUGUGAAUAAAUAUUUUCUGUAAUGAUGGCAUAGUCUUUUGUAUUGUUUUUACAGCAUGGCUGAGAAAUAUGGAUGCGAGAUUAUUCUUAGCUAAAUUAAAAUAUGAAAAUAAAGCUGAAUCAACUUAAAAACGCAAGGUCAACCAGCUGCAAAGCUUUUUUGAGUUGACUGAACUUCAUGCCCGUGUAGUUGUGGCUACUCGUUUUUUAAAGUUCGCUCAACUCCCUUAUCCAGCUUCACUGAACUUUCAAAAAUGAUUUGGCACAACUUCAACCACCGAAGUUGAGUAAACUCAAAAAUGCUUUGCAGCUGGU